UUUUUUUUUUUUUUUUUUUUUUUUUUUUUUUGUGGCGGGGAAAAAAGAAGAAGUGUAAUUUGGGUUUAGGGUUAAGAAGGGAUGGUAUUUGAUUACAUAUAUGUAGAGUUGAGUUUCCUUGUAAGUUGGUGUGUGGCUCUAUCUUGUACGGGUCUACUGGUUGCAUAAAGUGGAGAAAAAGCAUUUUGGCUAGAGGUGGCUGUGUCUCUAACUAGUUGUUUCUUUGUUUGGGGACCCUUUUAAUCUAUCAAAAGACCCUCUGCAUCUUUCCUUAUCCUCUCUUGUGGAUGAUCGAUAAGAGCAUUUCCAGCAGACUAGUUAAUUUGUUUUCGAGUAAAAAACCGAUCAAUCUUUUAUUUCACCUCGCAACAUUUAUUAGCUAAACUCCAUUUUUAUUAAGAAGCCUGUCUAUCUUUUGCUCGGGUUAAGAGCAUUUCUAGCAAACUAACUAAACUUCCUUUUGAGUUAGGAAUCAAUCGAUCUUUGGCUCAAGUUAAGAAUAUUUUUAACAAACUAGUUAAACUCUCUUUUGAGUCAGGAAUCGAUCGAUCUUUGACUCAUGUCAAGAGUAUUUUUAACACACUAGCUAAACUCUCUUUUGAGUGAGAAAUCAAUCGAUCUUUGACUCAUGUCAAGAGUAUAUCUAACAAACUAGUUAAAAUUCAUUAUAAAUAAACAAUCAUUCACUCUGAAAGUUUACUCAGAACGUCUCCAUAAAACUAACUAAACUUACUUGGAAGUCAAAACACUCCUUCCAUAAACUAGCUGUCAAUGGACUUAAAAUAACUGAAAUUAGUUAAAUCAAAUUUAUGAAAUUAAAUUAAAGGUACACAGAGUGUGUCAUCAAAUAGGAAUACCACCAUAUUUCGUUUCAUUACUUUUUUUUUUCUUUCUAUUUUUGGUGGUUAACAAUUAAGAAGAUUGUGGCAAGUAAAAGUGCAUUCGAAUAUAAAGUUGAGAAAUGUCAAGGGAACUAUUUUAAAAGUAAGAUUCUUUAUGAACUUUCUAUCAUCUCAUGUUUAAAACAUAAGGUUUUACAAUAUUAACACAUAAUUAACAUUAAACUGUAAAAUGUCAUAUAGUCCGUAAAGAGCCAUAUUUUUAAGAGUUCUGUUAGCAUUCCUCGUAUAAGGUUUGCAUGUCUUAAUCCAUCAGUUUUGACAUUGCACGCCAAAGCCCACGAAUUAUCUUCAUGGGAAGAAGCGAGGAUAAUAGUGUUGAUCACAUGGAUCCUAAAUUGUCCACUCCUAAGCCAUACCACAUAUUUGGCACGUCCAAACGCUUGCAUGUCAAUUGUUAGGUGGGAUUAGACGCCAAUCACAACUUAGAGGAAGACUACAAUCCUAGCUAUGCCAUAUGCCGUGCUAUUUCAUUUUGGACUUGUAUAUUUGUGUCCAUGGAACAACAUUAUACACUCCACUCUCGUGUCUUCAGACUACCAUAAUAUUUCUUCGCAAUAAUUCUAUUUGGACAUCCGAUCACGUUUAAUAAUGGUUAGCUAUAUUAUUGUAGAUAAGAGCUACGCAUGUUAUUUUCUUGUGGUUAAAUAGUACUACUCUUGUUAAACGACAAUGAAGAUCGGACAAUACUUUCCUCUUUCCCAGUAAGGAGGUAAGAUCUCCUUCCUCCUAACACGAUAUCAUUUCAUUACUGAUGUCAUAACCAGAACGGUUUAUUAUCUCUAUUAUACUUUAAAGAUCAUUUCCAGAAAAAUUCAUUUAAUUUGAAGAUUGUUUACUCAUUCAUCUUAAUCAAAGAAAUUGAAUUCAGAUUCUUUGCUACUGUCAAAACAGGACUAGUAUUUUAGGAUUUUUUGAUAUUUUAUUAUUUGUUUAAUUCCUUUCCAAUUUCAAUUCUUAAGGUUUCCAGGGUUAAGUUACAUAAUAAAUAUGUCAUAUUGGCCUUAGGUUUGUAUUCAUUCAUAAUAUUAUCAAUUAGAAUUAGAGAUAUCUCUAUUUUCUGGUGGAUUCUGGAUUGUUAAUAGACUUCAGUUUAUUCGCUAGUAAAUUAUAGCAUGAAAUUUUGUAACAUCCCACAUCACACAUGGAAGUGGAUCUUGUAAGCCUUAUAUGUAUAUUCUCAUAUCUACCUAGCACGAGGUCUUUUGGGAGCUCACUGGCUUCGGGUUCCAUCGGAACUCCAAAGUUAAGCGAGUUCGCGCGAGAGCAAUCCUUGGAUUUGUGACCCACUGAGAAGUUCUCAUAUGAGUUCCCAGAAACAAAACUGUGAGGGUGUGGUCGAGGCCCAAAGCGGACAAUAUCGUGAUACGGUGGAGUCGAGCCCGGGAUAUGGUGUGGUCCGUGCCAGGAUGUGACAAAUUUCGUUCAAUUUCUCUUGUUAUAUAUCUAGUUGCGUCAGUUCAACACGAGGAUGCUACUUAUUAAAUCGAUUUGUUUUACACAUAUGAAUGGUCAUAUGAACUCUAAUUCAAAUUAAUUUGUAAGGAAUGAGUAUUAGAAGAUGGUAAAGGAAAUCAACAAUUUCAAUGAUGAUGUUUACACGAUAAAGCGAUGACGCGAUAGAAAAAUGAGGAAAGUAUUGUUCGUGAAAAUAUUAUGCACACACAUAUGGAAGUUGUUAAUCCUAUAUUAUAUUAUUUGUAACACAAACGAAUUGAACUACACUUUCAUACUUGCGAAGAUUAGUUGGAGAAAUAUUGUUGAGGUUAUCAAAAGAAGUGCUUUGAGGCUUUUGGAAUAUACUGGCAUUGAGUUUUACCUUUCUGCUGUUUACGCCUAGCUAAAAGUAGAAAAGCACUCUCUCUUUUUCUUUCUACGAUGCUAACCAAACGCUGUCUUAUUAUUCUCUCUUAAAAAAUAAGGAGAAAUGCUUAGGAAACUUUUUUAGAGCAAGAUUCUUUGUGGAUUCUCUGACUUUAACAUCAAUUUCAUAUCAAUAUUAUAAAACAUAAUACUAAAAACAUAGGGGGUGUAGAUUCAAUAAAGAGUCUAGAGUCUCUUUACCAUUUCUCAAAGAAAUGGUUUUCAUGCCAGACAGGUAGUAUAGUAAAGUUUUGAUGAUACAGAGAACAUUUUAAUCCAUGGGAUAAUAUUGUUUAAAAUAGUUCAUUAUGUGAAUACCUUUAAAGGUAACAGAUUAAUUUAUGUUAAAUACUGACGUUCUAACAUAUGAUUGGCUUUGAAAUUAACUUGGGAGAUGAAAUCAAAUUAAUUAAAUAAAUAAUAUAAUGGAAAAUUAAACCCUGGAAGUGAUGAAAUCUCAGAAGCAUGCUUUGAAGUUAAUGAUGAGGACCAUGGGGGCUUGGGGUUCACAAAGGAAUGAAAGCAAAGGGGGACAGAGAUCGACGUGAUAAUCUCACAACUCUCUUUGAAAUCCAAAACUCCAAACACCAUGCCUUCACUGCACGCACUGCAAUGGAGAUUUUUUGUUUUCUAAGUGCAAGAAGCUCUUGUAUUUACCAUCAGUUUUAACUCUUUCUCCAUGCAUUUGCUUUCGCCUUAUCUCUCACAAGAAGCAAACAACAACCCCCCAUUUUUCUUGAACUUGAAUCACAUAAAUUUCUUAAAUUCAUCAUUUCUUCACUCCCCAAAUUGCGUUCUCUAUUCGAUAAAUUAGCAAUUGGUGUCACAAAGACAAAAAAUGGAUUAAUCCUAAAUAUCGAAACUAGCUUCGGACAAGCUCACGAAGAAAAAAAUAGCUGACUUCUAUUAGUCAAGUUAACUGGAGCAGUAUUCUUUCUCUUUGUAUCUAAAUUCGAAUUUCCUACAAAUAAUUUGGGGUAAGUUAUAAUUUUGUGUUUGUCAAGAGAGAAUAAAAAUAAUAGAGAAACGAAAGAAUUGGUUUUCUCCUUUGGCAUGGUGUUUUUGUUGUUCUAUUCGACUAUUUUUCGUUUUAUAGAUGAUUUUGAUGUAAUGUUGAAGUUUACCAAAAUUUAUUUAUUUUUAUUAAAAAAAUGAAAGAAUUGACCAAACUCUGUAUUUUUGGGCAGAUUGAGUAAUGUUUUUGGCUUCCUAUGCAAAUCUCGUCUUGGUUCCAAAUCUUUGUGUGAUCAAACCAAGAAAUAUAUGAGAUUGGAAGUACCACUCAGCGUAGAGGGACAACGGAGUUUGUGAAAGAUCAUGCAUGUUUCUCUCCUUUUGAGUCAUGGACCUUUUUUUCUUCUUUUCAUCAAAGAAAUAAUGAGUAGUCAUGGAUAAAGCUGUUUGAUAACCAUUUUGUUUUCAGUUUUCAUUUUUUUGAAGAGGAUUAGUAAUGCUAUGAAUACUAAAUUUGUAGGUAAAAUUUUAUAAACUAAAUGAUAUGGAAGUUAAUGAUUGGAUUAUGACUUAAUUGUUGAUGAACGUGACUAUAAUAGGACACAUCCUUUGAUUUGCAAAUUUUGUCUUCCUAACGUUACUGUUUUAAAAAAAUGAAAACGGCGUACUUUCUUUAGAUUCAAAAUUUUAGCCUUUGAGUUUUCACUUUUCACUUUUUUGAAAACUGAAAGUAGUUAACAAACUAGAUGUUAAAUACUUUUAGUUUUCAAAAAAGUGAAAAUGAAAUGGUUAUCAAACGGCACCUAAAUUAAUUUUUUUUCACAAGCCACAUAAGAAUUAGAUUAGUUGGUCAAAUAGUAUGCUGUUUUGUUAAUCCAAAGUUUGAAUCAGCUUCCUUGUAGAUAAAAGUAGAAUAUCCCUUCGUCAAAACGAUCUUUUUUCACAAGAGUAAAUCAAGGAAUAGAUUAAGGAGACUGGUUUAGAAUUCGCCAUCCAAAUGGUGAAUGAAAUAAUGAGGUAAACAGUCAUCAAAACAUGAAUAGUGAAUAAACGUUAAUGCAGAUGACAUACUGAUUAGUAAGCAGAAAGAGCGGUCUGAUUAGGAUGGCGCAUGUUAAUUAGUUGGAAACUUGGGAAAGAUGGCAGACAGAAGCACAAGGCUAAAGCCUUAAUUAAGUGCAUAAACAAAUGUGAUUAAGUGCAAUGUUUGAAUUGGAGUCCUCGUGAGAGUUUAAGAAAACCUUUUUUGUGAGUGAAAGGCAAUAUUUAAGAGAUAAAGUCUGAUAAUAAAGCUCCUUUGGUGCAAGGCUGCAAUGCCAAAGAAGAAAAUAUUUAAAGUAAAUUGGUAUGGAUCCUUAUCGAUGGUGGACACUUCCAUUUUACCAAAGAGAAGAAAGAUGGUGGAUACAUUUCUAAUUAAGUGGCUUUAAUUUGUUGGAAAUUGGGACAUAUAUGUCAUGUGGAUUCACGUUGAACUUGUGGACGGCAAAAUUUGACUUUGGCUUAAGCUUUUAGGGUACUUAUAGGGAGACUAGGGAGAUUAAUUUAGGUAAAUGCAUACGUCGCUCAUCAUUACAUAAAAAUAAUUUUAUUUUAAUGGAUGAAAAAGCCUUAAAACACAGGCAUGUGUUUCACAAAAAGUCUCUGAAAAAAAAGCCAUUUGUCCAUCAAUUAUUUGCAAAAAAGAAACAAUUUUACAAAAUUGAAAGGGUAUGAAAUUAGUUUUUUCAGUGAUAGAUUACAUAUAUAUGUGUUUGGUAUUUGUAUAAAUUAAAGCCUCAUAAUUAGGGAAAGCAGGCAUAUAUCUCUUAUCUUUUGGACUAGUGGAUAAACAAAUCAACUAACACAGUGUUUUGCACUUUAAUUAGGGUUUGUCUAGGGCACCUACUAUUGCGUGAUCGCACCAUUAAGUGGAAAAAAAAUUCAUUGUGGAGGAACAUAGCCUAAUAUACUAAGUAUCACAAUACAAAUGAUUGGAGUUGUUUUUAUUCGAGUAUCAAAUUAUUUGUAUUAUAAUAUUUAAAUAUAUUAAAUUAUGUUCUCAGCACAUUAAAAAUCUCUCUAUCAAGCAGGGUUUGAUAAGUAGUUAACUAAAAACCUGUAGAAUAGAGGAUGCUUCGCUGGUACAUAUCCAUUGGGCCACAAAACUGAAGAUUGGUCCAUGUGUUUAGCCACCCAAAGGCCUCUGUGUAGAGGCUCGAGGCAAAGCGGCAAACCAACCUUGGAACCCAUUUUUCACCAAGGAAAUGAUUUAUGCACUAUCGUUUCUUUUCUUUGCAUUUUUUCUUUUGUUUUUGUCCUUCAAGUGUCUUUUGAUAUAUUCAAUCUAACAAUUUUUGAACAAACUGAAUCUAACAGUUAUAAUAAGAAAAGGGUGACGUGCGAGAAAAAGAAGGUGCAUAAACCGUUUUCAUUUCCAUUUACGUAUCUAUUUAGGAAUUAAUUAUUAAACCCUAAACUCUAACUCAUGAUUAUGUCUUGCAGUAGGGAGGACCUCUGCUCGUAUAUAUUUCCAGAUCUGUUCCUCACCCUGAUAAUACGAUUAUAAUAGCCACACUUAUACAAGAGGCCAUCACAUUCAUACCAAAUAAACACGAAAACAUGCACGCAUGCAAUUCAUCACUUUGCAAUAACCAUUCCCAAAAAAAACAGAAACAGUAACUCUCUAACCCUGCUUAAUUAAAAACCCUGCUAGACAAACGUACACAAUGUAGAAACUCAGAUAGUUUAAUGGGACAUCAACAUGGCAUAACUUGCAGGUAUACUGUCACUAGUACGUAAUGGCCAAUGCCAUAAUUCCGUAAAAUUCAUCCCUCGAAAUCUUCAGGGUGGCCUUUCGGUCCUUCUGUCUUAUUUCUAGGUUUCACCUAUAUAUAACCAAAUUCAGAAUUAAACCAGAGCUAGUACUGUCGAUUAAUUAUUGACUCUCUUAUUUCUACGUUCACCUUUUGUUUAAUUACUUUUAAAUAUUUGUUGGUCAAAUUGGAUUAAAAUUGAUCGAAUUAUACCAGAAGUGUGGUGGGUGCAAGUUCAACUGGAUGGGAUGCUGUUAGCUCCUUGAGUUGCAGCUGCAUCUUACUCAUGAAAUCCAUCGACUUUUCCUAAGUUUCCUCCGUUGCUUCUUUCAGUUUCACAUGUGCCGAGCAAUAUACUUCCUGGAGAGGCAUAUUAAUCCUAUCUCGUAGUUAUGCUGCUUUAGCUAUGGCGGUGGUCUCCUGUGGUAAACGGCGGCGGUUCCUCAUGGCACGUAUGAGGGUUAGGGUUUGUCCUUAUGCUGUUUGGUUGGACCAUUAAUGAAGCAUUUCAUUUCCUUUUCCGACCAAAGAUAUGAAAAGAUAUGUCUGCAAUUAUUUUGUUCAUUGCUAUACAUGCAGUGUGUAGCCAUUAAUUAAUUAAUUAUUACGUACGUACCUGAGCAUGCAUGCGAUGAGGUGCUCAGCAAUGAGAGCGAUGUAACGUAGAAAUGCAUAUGUGUGUGUGUGUGUGUGUGUGUGUGUAUGAGCUCCAUUUCUACACGCUUAAAGCUUCAAUGAUAGUACGUACAAAAUACAGGUGUGGUGGCCGGCUGAGGAAACAUAGAAAGCAUUUAAGACAAGAAGCGUAUCCAAAUGGAGAUGGAGAUAGCUAGGGUAGGCGUAGGCUUACUCUGAAUCUCUCUGAUUGCUUCAUCAAGUACGGAGGACGAAUAUAUGACAAAAACAGUUCCUGGGAGGCUGGGACGUCGUCUCUGGAGGAGUCAAGUGUGGAUCUAAUUUAUUCAGAUUCUGAUCACCCUGCAACUGCAAACACAGUUACUUACAGAGUCGUCUAUAUCUACACACACACACACACACACACACACACUCUUCUAUAUAGCUAGGCAACAGGGCAGGGGCCUGAAAUGCAAGGGAAGUAUUUGAAGCCAGCCCAGCAAAGCAUUGGGUUGGAUUUCAAGAAAUUGGCUUACGGUGGAACUUUUAUUUUUUACUUUGACAUUCUCUAUUGAAGAAAGCUAAAGUUCUGCCCAAAAUUAAUGAACAAGUAACGAACGGAGUAACCUAACUUUAGCUAUAUAAGUUCAUGCAAGGAUUUCGUUUAUCAAAAUAAUUUUACGUUAUAGACCAUAGACGUUCAUGAUUCCCCUCUAUACCCUGCUGUAAUGAUUCCUCUAGCAUUAUGAUUUUCACCACAAUAAUGGAUAGAAUUUUUUUAUAAAUAUGCAUGCUAUUUAGUAUUUUGAUUUAAGCUCAUAUCACUAUGAGAGUUUUCUGGUUCGACAAUAACGUGUUAGAUAAUCAAUAUCGAUUGUAUCGAAAAAGGUGAAAUGGUAGUCCAGUUGAAGCGUAAUGAAUAUACAUAUGUAAUCGUUGUGUCUUAUAUUCGUUCUGAUUCUCUUCUACCCUUAAUUUCUCGGGAGUUCCUGUUCAUAGCUAAUUAGCAUAAACAUAAAGGAGCAAUAUAUAUAACAUUUCCUGGGCAGGCAUGAAGGAGGAAUUAACUGAUGAAGCAUUGUUACAAAGUAGAUGCAAAUGUACAACCACGUUUAUUAUAAUCCAUUGUAUAUAACUUUUCCUGCAAAUUAAUGGGUACAUAAAUAAUACAAAGCAAGAAUCUAAGACAUGAAGAGCUUGCGACUUGACAUCAUACCCAGCAAGACAGAGAUGAAGUUAAAAAUCGUUCAAUCCUAAUUUAAGUACAUACAAUGGGAGUUUGUUAUACAUAUCUUAUCAACAGGAUUUUUCGGAGUAUUCUAUACUCCGGAGCACCAUGGAAAUUUAGAUCGUCAACAAACCAUCCCAACUUAUGAAAAAAACAUUAUGUUUAGAAUCUUACAACCACAACAACCAGCCCAUAUAUUAUGCAGGAACACGAAGUAAGCAUAGAACUUGAGGCACUCAU
This 8594-nucleotide long non-coding RNA is filed under the name Malus domestica (apple). RNAcentral describes it as "long non-coding RNA (MDOM_LNC006352)". Lineage: Eukaryota; Viridiplantae; Streptophyta; Magnoliopsida; Rosales; Rosaceae. The record is from RNAcentral.